UACGUAGGUGGCAAGCGUUAUCCGGAUUUAUUGGGCGUAAAGGGAACGCAGGCGGUCUUUUAAGUCUGAUGUGAAAGCCUUCGGCUUAACCGGAGUAGUGCAUUGGAAACUGGGAGACUUGAGUGCAGAAGAGGAGAGUGGAACUCCAUGUGUAGCGGUGAAAUGCGUAGAUAUAUGGAAGAACACCAGUGGCGAAAGCGGCUCUCUGGUCUGUAACUGACGCUGAGGUUCGAAAGUGUGGGUAGCAAUCAGG
Molecule: ribosomal RNA, 253 nt
Filed under: uncultured bacterium
Lineage: Bacteria
Description: partial 16S ribosomal RNA
Rfam family: Bacterial small subunit ribosomal RNA
Source: RNAcentral